CGCCCCGCAAUUGACUCGUCGCACCUGAAUCAAUUCAGGGAGCGAAGGAGGCGGUUCGCUGCUGAACAGGUGGUUCUGAGAUGUUGAUGAUGAUCUGCCAGAGAGUCAUGUCAUCCAGGUCUGGAGGGAGCACAGUCUCUGGUUGACAGGAAAGAAGAAGCAGUAAUACUGUCUUCCACUUGACUGUUUACAGCCCAUGUCUGGUGCUCCUGAAUG
Molecule: long non-coding RNA, 216 nt
Organism: Scleropages formosus (Asian bonytongue)
Lineage: Eukaryota; Metazoa; Chordata; Actinopteri; Osteoglossiformes; Osteoglossidae
Exons: 3
Source: RefSeq, a predicted model, not a curated record